RNAcentral lists this long non-coding RNA (11653 nucleotides) under Homo sapiens (human). RNAcentral's name for it is "HSALNT0152574". The stretch from base 7440 to 7644 matches the Rfam family "U2 spliceosomal RNA". Lineage: Eukaryota; Metazoa; Chordata; Mammalia; Primates; Hominidae. The record is from RNAcentral.
CAUAUUUUGUAAGAACCAAAGCAACAGAAUGGAAAUGGAAGAAUUUGCAUAUAAUGGAAUACUCCAUAGCAAUGAAAAAGAACAAACCACAGCUGCAUGUAACAACAUGAGUGUAUCUCACACACAUAAGACACAAGAGAGUACAUCUUGUGUUGUUUCAUUCACAUAAAGUUUAAGAACAGGUGAAAUGAAUCCCUGGUGAUAGAAAUCAGGAUCAUGAUUACCUUUAGGCGGAAGGAGGUUAGAGCUAGGAGGAAGCAUGAUAGAAUCUUCUGGGAUGCUUAAAAUGUUCAAUAUUUUGCUCCAGAUGGUGGUUACACAGGUGGAUUCAUAUCCAAAAAUUCACCAAGCUGUAUACACUUAAGUUUUGUGCACUUUGCUGCACGGCAUAGUCUUUCCCUCAGCUUGUCUUUCAGCCUGGUCCUCGUCUCUAAUUUUAAAACGAAAUCAACAGCCACAUCACAAAAUAGAAUUCACUUUAAAAAUAUGCUUUAUUUUUUAAACUGAAAUCCCAAUUGUCCAUAAGCAUACAAAUGGAGGGUUUCAAAUUGUUUACUGGCCAGAGUAUCAAGCCAUUUAGCAGGCCCUUGAGAGAAGAGGUAUGUUCUGGCAGAGAAUCAGAGAAUCAUGAGCCUGAAUGUACACAAAGGAGGCAUGACCAGCAAUGAAAAGACAGGAAGGGACGGAGAUUGGAGAGAAUGGUUUGGUCCAGGGAAGGUUGUUAGAAAUUUCUUUCACUUCACAAGCUUGCAAAAGACCUGGGUCUCAACUUCCAGCAAAUCGAGAUGGAGAAUUUUUUAAAACCAUAAUUAGAUUUUCAAAAAAAUAAGAACAUUCCUUCGAAGAAGCUGUUAUCCAGCAUCAGAUCUCUGAAUGCCGCUGACUGAAAAGCGGGCUUUUGCAUGCAAGGUGGAAAUCUAUAUUCAGUUGCAGGUAGACCAAUUUGCUACUAAGUUGGUUUCUCCAGCCUCGGCUGUGAAAAAGCAGCAUCCUUUGGGAAGCAUUUUGCACUUACUGCAAUAUUCCAGCGAUGCCAAGUCACAAUCUCAGUGAGCUCCACACUUACUCAGGUAAAUUCAACUAAUUCAUGUGCUAUGUUAGCUAAAUGGAAAAAUAUUGAUUCAACCAUUCUGCUUACAAAGAUUGUUAGAUUUUAUACUAAGUCAGAAUUUCAUCUGCCUCCUUUCUGACAUUUGUGUAAAGGUUGGAUGCCUAUAACACUGAAAAUAAUUUAUAAUAUACUGACCUCUAUGAGCUUACAGUGGUAUAGUGCUGUAAGCUAUUAACAUCCUUAUUUACCCUGAGAGGAUGCAGGAUAGUUAGAAACACAGAUAAUUGGUAUUGUAAGGCCAAUUGCCUAUGUCUUAAGAAUAAUUAUCAUUAUUUGCCUGGCAUUUUAUUUAGGAAUAGGCUAAUGGCAUUCUUUAUAAACAGUGCUAUCUUAUUCUUAAGUUUAGCUCUGUUUCUUAAAUAAAGAUAAUUCCUUAAGAUCCUUUUUUCAAAAUUCUAAAAGGACCUGUCUUUUACUACAAAAACUUUAAUAAUUUUUAUUUUUUCCAAUGUUUUAUUAUGAACAUUUUCUAACAUAUAGAAAAUUCAGAAGAAAAAUACAAUGAACACUCAUAUCACUUAGACACCUACCAUUUAGAUUCAACAAUUGUUAACAUUUUGCCAGAUAAGUGGGUGUGUGCACUUGUGUGUGUAUGUUGUUUGCUGAACCUAUAUCAAAAUAAGCAACAGACUUCAUGAUAUUCUUCCCUAAAUAUUUCAGGGUCAUCUCCUAAAAAUAGGGCAUUCCACUACAUGAUCACAAUACUACUAACACAUCCAAGAAAAUUAGCAAUUAUUAUAAUAUUAUCUUAUACCCAGAUCAUGUACAAAUUUUCUCAUUUGUUCCUCAGAUAUAUAUUUAAGCAUGUGUUGAAUGGCUGGGUUUUGUUUUAAAUCCAGGUUUGUAUAUUGCAUUUUGUUUCUGUAUUUCUUUUAAUCUCUUUUAGUGCAACAGUGUUCUCAGUAGCACCCUCAUGCCCCAACACAUCUUCUUUUCUUUGGCAUUGAAUUUUUAAAGCAUCCAGGACCAUUGUUUUGUAUCAUGUCUCAAAUAUGUUUAUUUCUUCAUAGUGUCCUAUAGCUGGUUCAUCUCCUGUGUAUUUGUCAUGAACUGUAAGUUGAAGUCCUUUAGCUGCAUCUUAAAUAUUUGAUCCUAGUUAUAGCCACUUAUGUUGGCUUUUCUAUCGUUGCAUGUAAAUAAGACUUGACCUUAUUCAAUAAACUAAAGUCUUUCUGAUUUUAUAAAAUAUAAGUGCCUCUAAGUGAGACCUCUCUCCUGUACUUUAUGACUUCUUAGUAAAUGCAUAGCACAUAUUUACCAUCUGAAUCACACCAUUCAGAUUCAAUCUCUCUGGAUUCUUGUAAGUCAUCCAAAAUUUUUCAUUUAGAAUGUGGUGUACUACACUCAAAAUUACUCUUUUCCUGCCAAUAUGCUGUCUUUUUUUCCUUAGGAUUAUCUCUUUGGAGAUUUUUAAUUAAAUAUAUUCUUUUCUACUGAUAGGCAGUUAAAGUCUGAAACUUUAAACAUCUGGUUAUCUACUUCUAGGGUAAUAAUGUAUUUUAGAAAAACCUAGAAAUUAAUGCAAUUUAUAAAAAUAACUAAAUUAUUUAGUGUACCAAGUGUGAGAGAAAUCUGUAUGCUAAUUCUAGAAUGUGCAGUAACAUGAAGUAGAAUAGUCUCUAGACAAGUGUGAAAUUUUUAAUUAAUCCAAGCUAUAUCUGAAAAAGUGAUGUUUGAGGGUUUCAGAGUGAUUGUAAAUUAAACUAAUUACAAAUUGAUUACCAUUGAUAAGUUGGUCCUUUAAAUUCUUAAGAUAAAAUGAAAGCUGAAUUUUUAUUUGUGACUGAUUUGACUAUUUCUGUACAAUAUUUGCUUUAGGAAACAUUUUAGUGUUUUCAAAAUUCACCUUUUAGCUGGAUCCAGUGAUACGUCUGACAAAAUGACAGGCAAUUUGGAAAGCGAACAUGAAAAUAUCUGAGGAAGGGCAGUCCAGACUGAAGGAACUGCAAAUACAACAAACCUAGAGACAAACCAUCAACCAAUACUUAGCAAAAAAACUAGACUAGGAAAAAUGUCUGAAAAACCCUAGACCACCUACGUCCUCACUUGCUACAACUUGAAUAGUCCUAAAAAUAUUCCCAUGAAUACUACAUUUAAGAAGAAUAUUCAAGAAGAAUAAUACUUAAAAAUAUACUUGUGAUAAAUUGGGUAAAUUUAGCAAAUUGUUUUUAGGCAAAUUGAUGCUUUGCUAAGUUGACUUAUAGAGGACUGGUUUUCAAUCAAUUGAUUUCUGGCUAAUUUACCUACAGCUGUGCCUGCUGCAGAAUAGACAUUUAGUAAAUGUUUAUUGAAAGAAUGAUAGGAAAAAGCUUGCAUGUGAAACAAAAUGCCAAGUAUUGUAUUGAGUUUUGUAUCUGAGAGCAAUAACUUAACUGGAAACUAAUUUGGGUUUGUGGCUUAUCUGCCUUUCUGAUAUUUGAUCCCAUCCAAAAACCAUCUGCAGGUUUUUUAACUGCAAAGCCUCACAAGACCUAUCUCUGGCCCAGUUUAUCUCCUGGUGCCUUCCUUUCAUCUUCAAAGCAGGCCCCAGGAACUCAGCUUUCUUUCCUCUCCAGCAACUCAGCCAUCCUUUCUAUCCCUUCAGAUUUUGUUUCAUACCACUGCAUAAUCUCCCUCAUUUUGCAUUUUCUUCUACAUCUGUAGAUAAGCACAGAAACCUAAAAAAUUUAAGGAUCUUAUUCCUGAUCUCUGAAAAGAAAUAGGAUAAUGAAGUAACCAAUCUGGUAGAAGUGAGUAAGGUUAUAGAAUCCUUCCAUAAUUAACAAGUUAUCUGUUACUUGUCCCUUUCAAGAUGGUAAAUGGAUCUAGGAGGAUGAGACUUUUGUGUGUGCCUUUUUCUCUCCCCGCUAAAUUAUAUGAAUUAGUUUUAUCUCUUUAGGAUUUGCCAAAAAGCAAAGUGGUUAUCAUUAUUGGUUAAACACAUUGAUAUUUAUUUAUUUUAGCAAACAUGAAAGCAAUUGUUACAACAGGACUACAACAGUCAGCAGAACUGGGUCCCAGCUGGUGGUGACUCCAGAAAAUAGUCAGGGUCCCACCUUGUGCCCACUCUUCCAUACCUUUCCUGAAUAGUCAUCAGUGUUCUAGGUCUGGUAUAUGUUCCCUGAAAGGCAGCAAAGAAAGAGAGUACAGACUGUAGUGUCCCUGAUAAGAUCAUAUGUGGAUCUCCUAAUAUCAAUUUGGCUUGAAUACAAGGACUACUUUCCUAUUCCAAGGGCAGGGUAGAGGUACAUACCUAGGACAUGGAAUGGCAGAUGUCUGAAAUAUACAUUGCAGACCACCACACUUCACUGAGGUGUUGCCCUCUGCAUUUAUUCCUGAGGGUGGAGUUCACUAAACCACUUUCCUUCUCACCCCAUUUUUAGAUACAAUCAAGGUAGAAUAAUAGGUGUUUCCUAAACUCAAAUUGGCAGUUUGCAGUUUCUAGGACAUCAGCAAUGAAUGACACCCUUUUAGUGAACCCUGGCCCUUCCCCUUCCCCCUAGGAAUGAUGAACAUAGUUCAUGUCUUUACUAAUCGUCUGUGACCCAAGCAUCAUACUGAGCACAACGUGUAAAUAUCAAGAAGACAGUGUUCAAGGGCAAGGCUUCAGUAUAUGAGGGGCAGCAGAAGUGAUGGGGGGGAGGAGGAGUGGAAGACCAAGGCUGAGCCAUUCCCCAGAGGGAUCUUGUUACCAGGAACGUUGCCAAGGCAGGGGCUUUUGCAGCUGUGUAAAGAGCAGAUUGGAGCAAGAUAGAAGCCUGUUGUGAAAACUGGGGCCCAAGAUCAGGGCUGGACAACAUCAAGCAUCUUUGCUGCUAGAGUGCCUAAGCGUUGAGUCACAGCAACUUAAUCCCUCCUAUUAAUACCUGGUUUGAUUCUAGAGACUGGGGUGAGGCUGAGUCCCCUAUUGGCUGCCAGAAUUUCAGCUGCAGGGAGACAAACUCCAGGAAAUCUACAAGUUAGGCAAGAAGGAUAUGGGGAAACAGAGGUCAGUUUCCAGAGAAUUAAACAACUGACAUGAAAGACUUAAGGGCUGUUCCUGGUAAAGGAAUCUUUACGUGUAGGAACUGGGCAAGGAGAAAAAGAGUCCAGUUGCAUUCACAUUCUCACCUGAGUGACAAGAGAAGGCAAGAUAACUAAGCGGAACUUUUUUCAUUCUGUUGCUUUCUAAAUUUUCAAACUAAGUUUAAAGAACAAUGAGACUAAGUCUGUAGGUCACGACAACCUGGCAACUUCAAGUUAGACCUCCAUAAUCAUGAGUGUUUGCUCUCACCUAUCAAUACCAUGCCAUUCUGAGAUUGCCAGACCAGCCUUCUUCCCAGCCCUGGCACCCAGGGCUCUGGCUCAGCUCUUUAAUACCUACUUCCCUGUGCUGACCUGAUGCAGGAACUGCUGGCCUUGCAGCUUGUCCAAUGUCAGCCUAGCUCAAAACUGGGUCUUCAUACCUACAGUCCAAAGAAGGUGUUGAACUUGCUAAUCUAAAGGCAUCAAAGGGCUGCAAUAUGUUGGAGUGGAAAGAGGAAUAGAAACUUAAUGAAGUUGCCAGAGAGCAACAAGAAACCAAGAACAGGCAGAGCUUAAUUUUAGGCUCCAGGGAUUUUCCCAGACUUAUUUUCACUGUUUCUUAGGGCUCCAAUUUUCUAAGUCCUUUAUUCUUCAGUCAAAUGAAGUACAAGGAAAUGUGAGAACUCUAGAUGAGUCCCUGAAGUCAUUGAUACUAAUCAAAUGACCCUGGCAGCUCAGAUCAGCAGGCACUUUGGGAGCAUCAGCAAUGACCCCUGUGUCCUUGGGAUGUCACUCUCCUGCUAUAAAGUCUUCAGUGGAUCUCUACUGCCUUGGAAUAACUGGACUCUCUAGCCUCACCUUUAAAAUCUUCCAGGAACCCUUUCUCUCACUAAUCCCCUUCAGGCGCAAAUACUCCAGCAAAACUUAAUCACUGGUUUUUCACACUUGACAUGAACUUUUUCCAUUUUCUGACUUUUCUCAAAGUUUACCUUGUGUAGAAUAAUAUUUUAUCUAACUGACACAUCUAAAUAUAACUAUUCUUCAAUGCCAGCUAAAAGCUUAUCUCUUCCAGAAUGCCUUCUUUCUGAUUACACUAAUCUCUGAUCACACCUACAUUUACUUGACUUAUAUUACUCAGCAUGUUUUUACUAUAAAGUAAAUCUUGUGUCAUCUUCCUCAUUUACACUGCACAUUCAUCAAAUACAGAUAUUAUAUGUUAUCAAUAUUUUCAAAUGACCUCAGUGCCAGAGUUGAACUAAUCAUAUUCCUCAGUUCAUAUCACCUGAUCAUUAGAGUUGAAGCAAAACACUUAAUUUAGAUAUUUAUUCCUUUUUCACCUCAUUCUGUUACCGUUCCCUCUCCCAUUCCCCUUUCCAUAGACAACUGCUCUGAGUUUGAAGUCUAACACGUGUAUACAUACUCUUGCAAAAUAUAAUAAUAUAGUCUACUGUAUCUUAUUAGACUUUGUUCUACUUCUUAUUUUUUUACUCAGCGCUGUGGUUUUGUUUUGUUUUGUUGAGACAGGGUUUUGCUCGUUGCCCAGGCUGGAGUGCAAUGGCGCGAUCUUGGCUCACUGCAACCUCAGCCUCCCGGGUUCAAGCAAUUCUCCUGCCUAAGCCUCCUAGUAGCUGGGAUUAUAGGCACCCGCCACCACGCCUGGCUAAUUUUCGUAUUUUUAGUAGAGAUGGGGUUUCACCACGUUGGCCAGGCUGGUCUCAAACUCCUGACCUCAGGUGAUCCACCCACCUCAGCCUCCCAAAGCACUGUGUUUUUAAGAUCUAUUCAUAUUGCUCUGUUGACACUUGGUUUGUUACUUCAAGCUGCCAUACAAUACUCAAUAUUAUGCAGUCUGCACAUUUUACUCACCCCUUCCUCCAGGAAUGAACACCAAGAUUCCCCCUAAUCACUGGAAGCCACAAAUAGAUAAUACAUGACUCUUAAGUGUGAAAACUUCUUUACAAUAUAUAUACCCAGGUAAGGGCUGGCUGGGUAAUAAGGUGUAUGCAUGUUGAAAUUGACUAAGUACUGAAUUUGACUAGCUGUACCAGUCUACUCUCACUAGUAGUUCACUUAGGUUAUUAUUUUCCCACAUCCUUGCAAAUACUUGGCCUUAUCUGAUUUUCUAAUGCUUGUUUAUCUCAUGGAUAUCUAGUUGUAGUUUUUGAAUUUGUUUAAAUCACUCUUAGCUGAUUUUUAAUACAUUUGAGCAUUCUUCAUAUAUCCUUUAGCCAUUUAGGUUUCCACUUCUGCAAAUUGCCUAUAUACAUUCUUUGUCUAUUUUUCAAUUAGUUUUCCUGACUCUUUAUUAUCGAAUGAUUUGCAUAUGUUUUCUUGUACAUCCUAAAUACAAGUUAGGCCUUUUGGCUAAGAUCAAGUGUAGUAUCUGUUCUUAUCAGUUUAAAUACUAGUUAACACAUUGGUUUCAGUUUGGCUGUGGGGUCCUUCACUGAACAAUUCUGAUGAAGUCAAAUGAACAAUUCCUUACAUUUUGUUUGUGCUUUUGGUAACUUGCUUAAGAGUUCUUUCCCAUACCAGUGUCAUAACCUAUAGUUUCUUCUGUAGCUUUAUAGUUUUGCUAUUCAUAUUUAGAUGUUUAGUACAUAUACACAUAUAUACAUAUAUAUUUUCACACACAUAUAUACACACACUCCUCUCUAUAUGCAUAUGUAUAUAUAUGUAUAUGGUAUGAGAUAUAAAUCUGUUUUUUCUCAAUAUGGUAAACUUAUUUUCCCAUUACCAUAAACCGGUUUUUCUUUCCCCAAGGAUUUGUGGUGUCAUGUUUAUCGUAUCUAAGACUUCCAUCUGAGAUCUCCGUUCUGUUCCAUUUCUUCAUUUAUGUUUUUACACCAGUACCAUACUAUUGUUUGUGUGUUUUUUUUUUUAAAUUACUAUAGCUUUGUUUUAAUCUUAAGUUUUGGCAGAACAAAUUCCUGCCCUUUAGUCUUAUUUUUCAAAAUUGAUUUAACUAUUUGUGGAUGUUCAUUCUUCUAUAUACAUUUUAAAAUAAGUAAAGUCCUUAAAAACAUCUAGCUACAGUUUCAAUUGGCAUGCUAUAGAUUUAUGAAUCAUUUGUCAGUGGGGGGUGUGGAUACUUUUAGAAUGUUAAAUGAUCUUAUCUGUAAAGAUAAACUAUUUCUCCAUUUAUUUAGAACUUCGCAUCUCGUAAUAGGUUUUUAAAACUUUAACCAUGGAGCUCUUUCACAUUCUUUCAAAAGUUUACUGACAUGUUAUAGUUGUUUUUACUGCUGUGUACAGCAGCUUAUUUCCUAAUUAUGUUUUCUAGAUGGUCAUUGCUGCUGCAGAGAAAUGUUAUGGACUUUUUAAAACUGAUCUUGUAUCCAGCAACUUUGCUGAACUUCUUGAUUUGUUUUACCUUCUUGACCUGUUAUAAUAUCUAUGUGUAAUGCUACUCUUUGUCUUUAGAAGAUAUUUUUGGCUUUAAGUCUUUUGAUAGAUUUAAGAUCAAGAUUGGUACUCUGGCCUUUUUUAUUGUUUAUAUUUCUUUUGCAUAUGUUUUUAGUGCUUUUAAUUUCUACCUUUCUAUGUCUUUUUGUUUUAAAGUGUAAGAAUGUCUUAUACUUAGCGCUUUGUUUUGUAAUCCAAUAUGAGUGCCAUUUACUAUAAUUACUGUUUUAUCAGGAUUUAUUUUUUCAUUUUAUAUUUCCUUUUACUAUGUGGCUUCUUCUUCCUCUUCCUAGUUCAUCUUGUGUUCUUCCAAAUACACAGAAAUGAUUUCUGCUGCUUUGAGAUUUAUAUUCUAAUUUAUUCUUCUAGUAAGUUAUCCCUAAGUUGUCCUUUUUGACUGGGGCUUAUUUCACUUAACAUAAUGUCUUAAAGUUUCAUCCAUGUUGUAGUAUGUACCAGAAUUUCAUUCUUUUUAAAGGCUGAAUAAUAUUUCAUUGUAUGUAUAUACCAUAUUUUGUCUGCAUUCAUCUAUCAGUGGACACUUGAGUUGCUUCCACUUUUGGCUAUUGUGAUAAUGUUGCUAUUACAAUAGCAACAACAUUGCUCUAUGUCUGUCUUUCUGUCUUUCAGUAUCACACUAUUUUGAUUACUGUAGCUUUGAAAUAAGAAAGUAUAUGACCUUCAACUUUGUUAUUUUACAAGAUUGAGUUGGCUACACGAAGUCUCUUGAGAUUCUGUAUGAAUUUCAGAAUGGAUUUUUUAUUGCUACGAAAAAGCAUUGGAAUAUCAAUAGGGAUUGCAUUGAAUCUGUGGAAUGCUUUGGGUAGCAGUGACAUCUCAACAAUAUCGAGUCUUCCAAUUCAUGAACACUGGUUUUUUCCCCCAUUUAUUUGUGUCUUCUUUAAUAUCUUUCAGCAAUAUUUUGUAGUUUUUAGUGUACAAGUCUUUCAACUCCUUAGUUGUAUUAAUUCCUAAGUGGCUUUUGUUGUUUUUGGCUGGAGGAGAUGCUAUUGUAAGUUGAAAUAUUUUCCUAAUUUCCUUUUUGGUUUAUUCAUUGCUAAUGUUUAGAAAAGCAAUGAUUUUUGCAUGUCGAUUUUGUGAUUUUGCAACUUUCCCAAAUCAGUUUAUUAGCUCUAACAGAUUUGUUUGUGUAAAAUCUUUAGGGUUUUCUACAUAUAAAAUGAUGUCAUCUGUGAACAGAGACAAUGUUAUUCCUUCUUUUCCAAUUGCGAUGUCUUUAAUUUUUCUUUCUUACUUCACUGCGCUGACUAUGAAUUCUAGUACUAUGUUGAAUAGAAGUGGCAAAACAGCAUCCUUGCCUUAUUCCUGAUCUUAGAGGAAAAGCUUUCACUCUUUCACCAUUGAGUACGAUGUUUGAGCUGUGGGUUGUUCAUAUAUGGCUUUUAUUAUGUUGUGGUAAUUUCCUUCUAAUCCUAGUUUGUUGAGUUUGUUUUUUUUUUUUCUAAUCAUGAAAGGGUAUUGAACUAUGUCAAAUACUUUCUCUGUAUCAAUUGAGAUGAUUAUGUGUUUUUAUUUCCUUUACUUGUUAAUGUGGUGCAUUACAUUGAUUUUUGUGUAUUGAGCCAUCCUUGUAUUCCAGUAAUAAAUCCCACCUGGUCAUGAUGUGUAAUCCUUUUAAUACACUCUUGAAUUUGGCUUGCUAGUAUUUUGUUGAGUAUUUUGCCUCAAUAAUCUUAAGGGAUAUUAGUUUUCUUUCCUGGUAGCAUAUUUCUCUGGCUUUGAUAUCAAGUAAUGCUGGACUUACAGACUUAGAUAAGAACUGCUCACUCCUCUUUAUUUUUUUGGAAGAGUUUGAGAAGGACUGGCAUUAAUCUUUCUUUGAAUUUUUGGUAGAAUUCACCAGUGAAGACACCUGCUCCGAGGCUUUUCUUUGUUAGGAGGUUUUUGAUUAUUAAUUCAAUUGCCUUACUCAUUAAAAAGGUCUACUCAUAUUUUAUAUUUCUUUAUAAUUUAGUUUUGGUAGGCUGUGUGUUUCUAGGAAUUUGUCAGUUUCAUCUGGGUUAUCUAAUUUGUUGGUUUACAAUUGUUCAUGCUACUGUCAUAAUUCUUUUUAUUUCUAUAAAAUCAGCAAUUUUUUAUUUUUAUUUCAAUCACUUGAGUCAUCUUUUAGUCAAUCUAGCUAAAAGUUUGUCAAUUUUCUUGAGCUUUUAAAAGAACCAACUCUCAGUUUUGCUGAUUUUCUCUAUUAUUUUUCUAUUCUCCAUGUCUAUUCUAAUCUUUGUUAUUUUUUUCCCUUUGCUAGGCUUGGGUUUAGUUUGUACUUGUUUUUCUAGUUCCAUAAGGUAGAAAGUUAGAGCACUGAUUUGAGACCUUUCUUCUUUUUUAAUGUAAGCAUUUACAGCUAUAAUUUUCCUUCUUCUGACUACAUUCACUGCAUCCUGUAAGUUUUAGUAUGUUGUUUUUAUUUUCAUUUGUCUCAAGAUAUUUUCUAAUUUCCCUUGUGAUUUCUUCUUUGACCCUUUAGAUGUUUAAGAGUGUGUUGUUUACUUUCCACAAUUUGUGAAUUUUUAUUUUUUUCUUCUGCUGUUGAUUUCUAGUUUCAUUCCAUUUUGAUUGGGAAAGAUACACAGUAUGAUUUCAAUCUUUUAAAAUUUAUUCAGGCUUGUUUUGUGACCUAACAUAUGGUCUACCCUGGAGAAUGCUCCCUGUGCAGUUGAGAAAAAUAUAUAUUCUGCUGUUGUUGGGCAUAGUAUUCUCUAUAUGUCUGUUAGUCCAAUUUGUCUACAGUGUUGUUUGUGUUAUUUAUUUAUUUUCUGUCUACUUGUAAUAUUUGCCAUUGAGAAUGUGGUAUUAAAGUCUCCUACUAUUAUUGUAGCCAAUAUUUUCAAUAGGGUCUUUGUGUGGCAACCUUUCUGAGGUUUUAUACGGCUGAGAUUAUUUCUAUUGCACUUUUCAUAUUUAAAUGCCAAUCCGGAUGAGUGCAAGAUUCUAGCUUCAAAGAUUUUUUUCUCCAAUACUAAAAAAGUAUAACUCAGGCCGGGCAUGGUAGCUAACGCCUGUAAUCCCAGCAUUUUGGGAGGCCAAGGCAGGUGGAUCACGAGGUCAAGGGAUUGAGACCAUCCUGGCCAACAUGGUGUAACCCCAUCUCUACUAAAAAUACAAAAAUUAGCCGGGCAUGGUGGUGCACGCCUG